This is a long non-coding RNA of Gorilla gorilla gorilla (western lowland gorilla), 733 nucleotides long. RefSeq lists it as uncharacterized. Lineage: Eukaryota; Metazoa; Chordata; Mammalia; Primates; Hominidae. The transcript is spliced from 3 exons. The record is from RefSeq and is a predicted model, not a curated record.
CAACCACAUGGCUGGCUGGUACCUUCUUACUCUGGGGGGUCUCCUCAUGAUCAGUUGCAUAACAGCCACGGUGGUCCUUGCACUCUGGGGAGUUACCCUCCUACUCCCAGGGGAUGAGCAAUCUCUUUAAGGUCUUUCCUCCUGGGCUGGGAGCCACACAAGUGUGCCAUGGAAUGUGGAGCUCCUCCCUGGGCAGAGUACCUGAGAGCUAAGGGGAGGAUGACACCUCCCCCUGCAGUGACUCUUUAAGAGAAAAGGGUAAAAGGAGAAAAUCCAGAAUCUUGCUCUGUUGCCCAGGCAGGAAUGCAGUGGUGCAAUCACGGCUCACUGCAGCCUCUACCUCCUAGGCUCAAGCAAUCCUCAGCCUCCUGAGAGUAGCUGGGACUACAGGACAAUAUGAACGGAACACAAUGUUGAAGAAAAUACAUUUACUUUGUACCCAAUUCUAUGCAUAUUUUCUUCUGCUUUCCAGUCCACACGUUGUUCAUCAUAUUGGAAAUCCUCUCUAUACCUGCUUUGAAGCAGGAUCAAUGCACUAUACUGAUAUAAUUUCAGCAAAUAACUACUGACAUGAAUUCAUAAAUGGCAUCAUUUUGCAUUCUGCCCUGUAGGCUUAUAAUAAAAGUACUUCGUCUACAAAGCAAUAAUGCAACUUUAUUUAUGAAAUCAUUUUCCAAUUAAGAAAAUUUUCAAUGGUUUAUAAAAGUGGACAUUUGCACAAUCUUUUUCAUAA